GACGAACGCUGGCGGCGUGCUUAACACAUGCAAGUCGAACGGAGCGAAUGAAAGCUUGCUUUUAUAAGCUUAGUGGCAAACGGGUGAGUAACACGUAGACAACCUGCCGACAGGAUGGGGACAACAUUCCGAAAGGAAUGCUAAUACCGAAUGAAGCGCAGGAGAGGCAUCUCUCCUGCGUGAAAGAUGGCCUCUAUAUAUAAGCUAUCACCUGUUGAUGGGUCUGCGUCUGAUUAGCUGGUAGGUGAGGUAACGGCUCACCUAGGCGACGAUCAGUAGCCGGUCUGAGAGGAUGAACGGCCACAUUGGGACUGAGACACGGCCCAGACUCCUACGGGAGGCAGCAGUGGGGAAUCUUCCGCAAUGGGCGCAAGCCUGACGGAGCAACGCCGCGUGAGUGAAGAAGGUCUUCGGAUCGUAAAGCUCUGUUGAUGGGGACGAACGUGCCUAAUGCGAAUAGUUUUAGGCAAUGA
RNAcentral lists this ribosomal RNA (473 nucleotides) under Centipeda noxia. RNAcentral describes it as "bacterial SSU rRNA". It matches the Rfam family "Bacterial small subunit ribosomal RNA", at positions 28 to 472 of the family's 1533-position model. Lineage: Bacteria; Bacillati; Bacillota; Negativicutes; Selenomonadales; Selenomonadaceae. The record is from RNAcentral.